GACGAACGCUGGCGGCGUGCUUAACACAUGCAAGUCGAGCGGUAAGGCCCUUUCGGGGGUACACGAGCGGCGAACGGGUGAGUAACACGUGGGUGACCUGCCCUCAGCUCUGGGAUAAGCCUGGGAAACCGGGUCUAAUACCGGAUAUGACUCCAUGACGCAUGUUGUGGGGUGGAAAGCCUUGUGCGGCUGAGGAUGGGCCCGCGGCCUAUCAGCUUGUUGGUGGGGUGAUGGCCUACCAAGGCGACACGGGUAGCCGGCCUGAGAGGGCGACCGGCCACACUGGGACUGAGACACGGCCCAGACUCCUACGGGAGGCAGCAGUGGGGAAUCUUGCGCAAUGGGCGAAAGCCUGACGCAGCGACGCCGCGUGAGGGAUGACGGCCUGGUUGUAA
Molecule: ribosomal RNA, 395 nt
Filed under: uncultured bacterium
Lineage: Bacteria
Description: bacterial SSU rRNA
Rfam family: Bacterial small subunit ribosomal RNA
Source: RNAcentral